RNAcentral lists this ribosomal RNA (586 nucleotides) under Pareiorhaphis hystrix. RNAcentral describes it as "partial small subunit ribosomal RNA". It matches the Rfam family "Bacterial small subunit ribosomal RNA", at positions 273 to 1111 of the family's 1533-position model. Lineage: Eukaryota; Metazoa; Chordata; Actinopteri; Siluriformes; Loricariidae. The record is from RNAcentral.
CCGGGGACGAGGAGCUGGCAUCAGGCACACCAGAUGGCCCAAGACGCCUUGCUCAGCCACACCCCCAAGGGAAUUCAGCAGUAAUAAACAUUAAGCCAUAAGUGAAAACUUGACUUAGUUAGGGUUAAGAGGGCCGGUAAAAUUCGUGCCAGCCACCGCGGUUAUACGAAAGACCCUAGUUUAUAGGCACGGCGUAAAGGGUGGUUAUGGGACAGACAAAAUAAAGCUAAAGACCCCCAGAGCCGUCAUACGCCCACGGGGGCGCGAAACCCAAAUACGAAAGUAGCUUUACCAAACAAAUGCCCGACCCCACGAAAGCUGAGAAACAAACUGGGAUUAGAUACCCCACUAUGCCCAGCCUUAAACCUAGAUGAAAACUUACAAAACCGUCCGCCCGGGGACUACAAGCACAGCUUAAAACCCAAAGGACUUGGCGGUGCCUCAGACCCACCUAGAGGAGCCUGUUCUAGAACCGAUAACCCCCGUUAAACCUCACCACCUCUUGUUUUCCCCGCCUAUAUACCGCCGUCGUCAGCUUACCCUGUGAAGGUCCAACAGUAAGCAAAAUGGGCCCAACCCAAAACGU